RNAcentral lists this ribosomal RNA (374 nucleotides) under uncultured eukaryote. Its description in RNAcentral is "partial 18S ribosomal RNA". It matches the Rfam family "Eukaryotic small subunit ribosomal RNA", at positions 592 to 976 of the family's 1831-position model. The record is from RNAcentral.
UAAUAGUGUAUAUUAAAGUUGUUGCAGUUAAAAAGCUCGUAGUUGAAUGUUGGUGUCGAACGAGCGGUCAGCUUCGGCUGUACUGCUCUCUCGACUCCUUCCUUCUGUGGACUACGUCGCACUUUACCGUGUGGCGCUAGGACGCAGAUCGUUUACUGUGAAAAAAUUAGAGUGUUCAAAGCAGGCCGUACGCUUGAAUACAUUAGCAUGGAAUAAUGGAAUAGGACGUCGGGCCUAUUUUGUUGGUUCUAGGACCGUCGUAAUGAUUAAUAGGGACAGUUGGGGCCGUUUAUAUUCCGUAGUCAGAGGUGAAAUUCUUGGAUUUACGGAAGAUAAACUACUGCGAAAGCAUUCGGCAAGGAUGUUUUCGUUAA